UUACUGUUUGUAGAGUUGUAGAUUCAUGAUAUGUGUUCUUUGACCGGCUACACAUGAAGUUCACUAAAUUCAAUAUUCGAAGUCCACUUUGCAAUUUUUAAACCGAUAAGAUUUGUGGGAUUCUUUUUUGAAGUUCACAUUAUUUCAUUAGCGCAGUACACCUUUUUUUCAUGUGAAGCUCGCUUCUUUUUUUAAUAGGACUUAACUACCAUAACAGUGCCCACAAGCAGCAUGGCAACAAGCUGGGUGUUCUUGCGGCUACCUCCCGCUGUUGUUAUUACAAGUGCAAUUCAGGCUCUUCAUUUCAUUUGGAUGAAGCAACCGAACACAAAGUGCACAACCGGAAUAAAGAUGUGGAGAUGAAGAACUCAUUUUUUCUAAUCCAUGGAGUUCAUUUCUCCUAAAUUUUGAAGUUCACAUCUCCUGCUAAUUGGAGCUAGUUCAGUUUGCUGUUGUGUGUCUCCGCCACAUGGUGAAGUGAAUACAGAUUGGUGUUGCUCUGCCGCUUCUGCCUCCGUGUAGCUCGAGGGUGCAGAACAGAGCUCGAGCUCGAGGGUGCAGAGCAGAGCAUACAACCGACGACGUCAUCCGGAG
Non-coding RNA from Lolium perenne, 594 nucleotides. The record is from RefSeq and is a predicted model, not a curated record. NCBI's taxonomy places the organism in Eukaryota, Viridiplantae, Streptophyta, Magnoliopsida, Poales, Poaceae.